This 24-nucleotide non-coding RNA is filed under the name Arabidopsis thaliana (thale cress). Lineage: Eukaryota; Viridiplantae; Streptophyta; Magnoliopsida; Brassicales; Brassicaceae. The record is from RNAcentral.
UAUCCACCUAAGUGUCACAUCAUC